Molecule: long non-coding RNA, 2653 nt
Organism: Homo sapiens (human)
Lineage: Eukaryota; Metazoa; Chordata; Mammalia; Primates; Hominidae
Gene: COPB2-DT
Product: COPB2 divergent transcript
Source: Ensembl
GGGAAGGAGGGGUGUGGCCUAGACCACUAAGGGCCGUGACGUGGUGCCGCUGAGCUUGGACCCCGACCAGAAGAUAGAGAUUGAAACGAUGAGGAAAACGAAGUGCCUAAUCCCCGCUGGACGCUAACUGCAGGGCAAGCUCCCCAGUGUUGUAGUUGUGUUUCGGAGGCCGAGAACCGCUAUCGGGCUUCCUCGGACUCUGGCCCUGGAGGGGGGAAACGGCGAGGGAGAAGGCGAAACGAGUCUCCAGUGUGUUCUUGGGGCCUGGUGCGAGGCCCAGAGAAUUCUCUGCAGGCCUUUGCCCGGGCACUGAUUAAGGCUGCGAAGAGACGCACCGGGCUGCGGGCUUAGUAGCUUCAGGCUUCUGAAGUCAGAGGGAGGGCUGAGAGCUUACACUUCUGGAGCUCCCCGGGAGACGGCAACUACCCAACCGUGUGGGUGUGUUUGUCACCCAGAAAUACUCUCCACACCAUGCUGCACUGCUGCGGAUGAGGGAAGGAUGGUGUCGGGGCUUCAAGACUGUUUUUCCUACCUCUUCAGUGCCUCUUUCAGUGAUAUGAAGUUAAAACCAGGAACAUGGAGGAGACAUAUUUCCACCUAUUUCUCUCCAUAAGUAUAAAAGACCAUAAAAGACCAUCUAGGGACUUCAGAACCCAAAUAAUGACACAAUGGUUCUGAAGCAACACUGUAACUGCUGAAUGCUUCUGGCUGCUUCUUUCCACAGUAAAAGAUGAAAAGAAAUAUCUUUUAUUGAGAUAGACUGAGGUCCAGGAAAAACAAGUGCAACUUCAUGGUCCUUUUCUUCAUAUUCUGGAAUACAAGAAAACGUGUAAAUGUUUGCAAAUUCAGGUGCUAAGAGUUUUGCAUGUAUAGCAGUACUUUUACCAUCUGUUUCAUUUGGAUGUUUAAUGAUGUCAAUCUUCAAUGGAAGUUUCACAAGUGGAAUCUGUUCAAUAGGUACAUUUUCAACUGGAAUGUAACAUGUAGAGCAGUAGAACAUUCUGGAACCACCACAUUUGAGACAUUUUGAUCUCCCACUUUGCUGAGCUUUUUGAAGAACUUCUUGAGAUGCUAAACAUAAGUUUUGAAGGGGAUCUUCUGAAGCUAUGGAAGUAGUUUGUGACUGUUUUGUUUCCACAAAGUUUGAAUUAUUUUCUUCACUUCAUUUGAGAAAUAUAGGUGGAUUGAGAGACAUUCUUCAUUCAAACAAAAGUUUAACAGCUAUUUCUAAAACACAUAUCAUCUGAAGCUAUGGAAGUAGUUUGUGACUGUUUUGUUUCCACAAAGUUUGAAUUAUUUUCUUCACUUCAUUUGAGAAAUAUAGGUGGAUUGAGAGACAUUCUUCAUUCAAACAAAAGUUUAACAGCUAUUUCUAAAACACAUAUCAUAUGUGCACUGCGAGUCCUCGAACAGCUCCACGCGUCUCCAGCUCUGCCCAAGCCCGAGCCACGCGACGGGCUGUGAUCGCGCACGGACCAGACGGUUUUGAGACGAAACAUGGCACGAGUCUCUCAGAACCCUGCUUGAGCAGAGCAGUUACAUUAUAUUCCACAAGUCAUAAAUAUUUGGGGAGCAAAAUCGAUUCCUGCAGCAGUGGUGGAGGGAUGCAGAGUGAUUGCUGUACUUUGAUACAAGUCAUCUACCUCGUGGCCAGCUGAGGUGGAUUAAAGUCUUCCCAGGAGGUAGGGCUUAAUCUCUGGCCAUAGGGCUCCUGGAAUGGCCAUAGAGGGUAGUCAGUGUGGGCUACUGUCCUUCUGGUCCCUGCCAGAGGUCAAGGCUGACAGGCACAGGAACAAUUCCUUCAAGGCCUGAUGGCCCAGAAAAUAAAGUUUGACUCCUUCAUUUGGCCGCGGGAGUGUCUUCGCUGCACACAGCAGCUGAGCUCAGUCGGGAAUGCUCAUUCAGGCUCCCUGCCUGUGGGUAACCUGGACUCUAUCCUGGUCUCUCCAUGUUUGCUGUGUGAGCUGUGAGCCCUGAAUAGGAUGCAGAGCAGAAGCCCCCUGCCUUUAGUUUCCUCUUAGCCUAUCUACAAUUCUUCCCUGCCUGGAAAGGGUGUUCGGAACAGGCCUCUCACCAUCUGCUUCUUUUACCUGUUUUACUCUCCCUUUCUCCUACUCAUGGAGGGUGGAAUUUCUACUUCCAGUUUCUAUUUAAAAGGGAUUUUCCCAUAUGCCAUUUCUACUCCAUCCUUUCCUCCCACCAUGAUGACUGGCUGGCUGCUGAGAAACAUGAUUUAUGCAGGAGAGGGUGAUAAACACAUAGUUUAAUGUUUUCUAAAUAUGAACCUUGUUUUUCUCAUUUUAUCUACAAGCAUGUGUGACUGUGGUGUGCAUAAAACUGUGUCAACAAUGGUUUCUUUCCUUGAGGAGCUCACAUUUACAAAGAAAGGAAGAAAUUUCAACCAAAAAAUAAAAAACACCAAACCUGAAAGGAAAAUCAACAGCAAGAGCCUGGACUUUCUAAACUAGGAGGAAGGCAGAGCUCCAGGAGACUCUUCUCAUUUCUCUGAGGGCAUGGAAACUCCAAUGUGGAAUAGAGCUUGGAGUUUAAAAAGAUAGUCUCUUCUGUGUCCUGGAUAGAGACCACACCAAAGGUUUGCAAUAUAGAGGCACAACAAUCAAAAUCAUGAAUUGAGAUGUCCUUGACAUUCCAU